RNAcentral lists this ribosomal RNA (415 nucleotides) under uncultured bacterium. RNAcentral describes it as "bacterial SSU rRNA". It matches the Rfam family "Bacterial small subunit ribosomal RNA", at positions 917 to 1333 of the family's 1533-position model. The record is from RNAcentral.
GGCCCCGCACAAGCGGUGGAGUAUGUGGUUUAAUUCGAUGCAACGCGAAGAACCUUACCAGGGUUUGACAUCCUGCGAAUCUCUUGGAAACGAGAGAGUGCCUUCGGGAGCGCAGUGACAGGUGGUGCAUGGCUGUCGUCAGCUCGUGUCGUGAGAUGUUGGGUUAAGUCCCGCAACGAGCGCAACCCACGUCUUUAGUUGCCAGCAUUUAGUUGGGCACUCUAGAGAGACCGCCGGUGAUAAACCGGAGGAAGGUGUGGAUGACGUCAAGUCAUCAUGCCCCUUACAUCCUGGGCUACACACGUACUACAAUGCUACGGACAAAGGGCAGCAAGUUCGCGAGGACAAGCAAAUCCCAUAAACCGUGGCUCAGUUCAGAUCGUAGGCUGCAACUCGACUCCAUGAAGCUGGAGUU